CUGCUAAAAAUAAUUUGGUUUCUUCAAUCUACGCAAAAUUAAGGACUGGAGGAAGAUGUAGCCAAUUUCACUUUUAUGGGAGAGAACACAAUUCUCAAGCAUUAAAAUAGUGCAAAGUAAGAUGCGCAAGGCAAGACUUGAAGAGGCCAAAAUCAAGGGAGUUUCAGGAUGACACAACAGAGAUUUGCAUCUCAGAAGUCUGUCAGGCUGCCUCUUGGGUCUUCAGACAACUGCAGGACAAUGAAAACAUCCUGAUGAAACCUGCAGAAUAGAGUGAAUGUGCACACAUUUGAAGCUGUCCGCCACCUCUGGUUGUAGAAGCGACGCAGGACCCUCUGUCUUUGGUGACACUG
Plectropomus leopardus (leopard coralgrouper) is the source of this 353-nucleotide long non-coding RNA. RefSeq lists it as uncharacterized. The record is from RefSeq and is a predicted model, not a curated record. NCBI's taxonomy places the organism in Eukaryota, Metazoa, Chordata, Actinopteri, Perciformes, Serranidae.